Molecule: ribosomal RNA, 484 nt
Filed under: uncultured bacterium
Lineage: Bacteria
Description: partial 16S ribosomal RNA
Rfam family: Bacterial small subunit ribosomal RNA
Source: RNAcentral
AUUGAACGCUGGCGGCAGGCCUAACACAUGCAAGUCGAGCGGAUGAAGGGAGCUUGCUCCUGGUUUCAGCGGCGGACGGGUGAGUAAUGCCUAGGAAUCUGCCUGUUAGUGGGGGAUUACAUCCGGAAACGGGCGCUAAUACCGCAUACGUCCUAAGGGAGAAAGUGGGGGAUCUUCGGACCUCACGCUAUCAGAUGAGCCUAGGUCGUAUUAGCUAGUUGGUGGGGUAAAGGCCUACCAAGGCGACGAUCCGUAACUGGUCUGAGAGGAUGAUCAGUCACACUGGAACUGAGACACGGUCCAGACUCCUACGGGAGGCAGAAGUGGGGAAGAUUGGAAAAAGGGCGAAAGACUGAACAAGCCAUGCCGCGUGUGUGAAGAAGGUCUUCGGAUUGUAAAGCACUUUAAGUGGGGAGGAAGGGCAGUAAGUUAAUACAUGGCUGUUGUGACGUUACCAACAGAAGAAGCACCGGCUAACUUCGUG